Molecule: ribosomal RNA, 497 nt
Filed under: uncultured bacterium
Lineage: Bacteria
Description: partial 16S ribosomal RNA
Rfam family: Bacterial small subunit ribosomal RNA
Source: RNAcentral
GAUGAACGCUGGCGGCGUGCCUAAUACAUGCAAGUCGAGCGAACAGACGAGGAGCUUGCUCCUCUGACGUUAGCGGCGGACGGGUGAGUAACACGUGGAUAACCUACCUAUAAGACUGGGAUAACUUCGGGAAACCGGAGCUAAUACCGGAUAAUAUAUUGAACCGCAUGGUUCAAUAGUGAAAGACGGUUUUGCUGUCACUUAUAGAUGGAUCCGCGCCGCAUUAGCUAGUUGGUAAGGUAACGGCUUACCAAGGCAACGAUGCGUAGCCGACCUGAGAGGGGGAUCGGCCACAUGGGAACUGAGACACGGUCCAGACUCCUACGGGAGGCAGCAGUAGGGAAUCUUCCGCAAUGGGCGAAAGCCUGACGGAGCAACGCCGCGUGAGUGAUGAAGGUCUUCGGAUCGUAAAACUCUGUUAUUAGGGAAGAACAAAUGUGUAAGUAACUAUGCACGUCUUGACGGUACCUAAUCAGAAAGCCACGGCUAACUACGUG